This 253-nucleotide ribosomal RNA is filed under the name uncultured bacterium. RNAcentral describes it as "partial 16S ribosomal RNA". It matches the Rfam family "Bacterial small subunit ribosomal RNA", at positions 524 to 776 of the family's 1533-position model. The record is from RNAcentral.
UACGAAGGGGGCAAGCGUUAUCCGGAUUUACUGGGUGUAAAGGGAGCGUAGACGGGAUAGCAAGUCUGAAGUGAAAGCCCGGGGCUCAACCCCGGGACUGCUGUGGAAACUGUUGACCUGGAGUGCUGGAGAGGCAAGUGGAAUUCCUAGUGUAGCGGUGAAAUGCGUAGAUAUUAGGAGGAACACCAGUGGCGAAGGCGGCUUGCUGGACAGUGACUGACGUUGAGGCUCGAAAGCGUGGGGAGCAAACAGG